Molecule: ribosomal RNA, 522 nt
Filed under: uncultured bacterium
Lineage: Bacteria
Description: bacterial SSU rRNA
Rfam family: Bacterial small subunit ribosomal RNA
Source: RNAcentral
AACGAACGUUAGCGGCGCGCUUAACACAUGCAAGUCGAACGAGAAAGGGCUUCGGCCCCGGUACAGUGGCGCACGGGUGAGUAACACGUGGGUAAUCUACUCUCGAGCGGGGGAUAACGUUCCGAAAGGAGCGCUAAUACCGCAUAAGACCACGCUCUCGAAAGGGAGCGAGGUAAAAGUAGGCCUCUGAAUUCACGCUUACACUCGAGGAUGAGCCCGCGGCCCAUCAUGGUAGUUGGUAGGGUAAUGGCCCACCAAGGCGACGACGGGUAACCGGUCUGAAAGGACGACCGGUCACAAUGGCACUGAGACACGGGCCAUACUCCUACGGGAGGCAGCAGUGGGGAAUUUUGCGCAAUGGGGGAAACCCUGACGCAGCGAUGCCGCGUGGAGGACGAAGGUCUUCGGAUUGUAAACUCCUUUUGUCGGUGAAAAAUAUUUGCGUGAAAAACGCAAACUGAUUGUAUCCGGCGAAUAAGCCACGGCUAACUUCGUGCCAGCAGCCGCGGUAAUGUAGUCGUG